RNAcentral lists this long non-coding RNA (676 nucleotides) under Rattus norvegicus (Norway rat). RNAcentral's name for it is "long non-coding RNA NONRATT014066". Lineage: Eukaryota; Metazoa; Chordata; Mammalia; Rodentia; Muridae. The record is from RNAcentral.
CCCCCAUGGAGACAGAUGCAGAAAGCGUGGACAUGGCCUUAAUUUUAGAGGAAGUGUAAUUAGCUGGAGUUUUUCCUGCCUCUAUUUUUAUGGUUGUUGCUACAAUAUCGUUUGUGCAAUUACGAAUGCUGAAAUCAAACUCAAACCACUUAAGGACACUCGCAACUGGGAUUUCUCCAGUGGCACUAAACGGCCAGGCCAUUGAUCGAGCCAGCAAGCCAGCCAGCAUCGACUCUGCAGCUCUCCCGGAUCUGAGACCCCAGGGUUACAGUGCGGGAGACCCAUGCAGGAGAAAGCAGGUGAGAGCGCUGUGCAAGCAUUAGAAUCGGAGUUUGGCAUCCCAGACCUAUAAGAAUCAUUAGGUUCCUGGAAGCCAGUUACCUGCACAGCUACGAAUAUAGCCUUGGGUUGGUUUCCCUCUCUAUUUCCACCUCCUCACCUACAAAACAGGACACACCUCCUGGCCCCUAGCCUACCAGUGGGACCUGUGUGAAACACCCAAGGAUACUGGCUGUACAAACAACCAUCAUCAGAAUGACGGAACCAGCAGACAUUUUAUUUUUCCAAAGGUGUUACCAGUAUUAAGGCAAAGUAGACUCAUUUGACAGUCACCGAAGGGAGAUCAGUGGCCGCCAUGAAGCCAAUGAAGUUAUGACAGCAGGCCCAGGAGGAGUCG